AUAUUCUUCAUCUUCAGAAUACAAUGCAGUCGACGUCUACCAGGCGCGCUCGUUCCACUAGAACAAUCCCAUUAUGUCGUCACCUUACCAGUGAUGGUUCAAAGAGAUUAGCAACUUUCGGUGCCCUAUGCUGCCGUGCUGUUAUAAAAGGGAUUUCUUUUAUUCGUCUUGCGGGAAGUAGGUGCGUUUACAAUGCGGAGGAGGAAUACAUUGAAUGUAUAUUCUGUGGAAAAAUUACCAUAGUAGAAAACAUGACUAUAAUGAGUACCUUGUAUGACGUGAAGUAUUACCAUCAUUCCACCUGCGAUGGUAUGAAAUUCUACAUCAUGAAACAAGAACGUGCCAUACACCAAGAUGUCUCAAGCUAUGGUGAGCUUCUCCAGAUCUGGCAGUAUGGCGUCAUUACAAGAAGCUGUGAUUAGUUUACCAUCAGUCGAGGUCUCAAAACGGAAGCCGUGCGGAGAACACAUGAAUUUAACCUACGUGAAAGAAACGAGUUCAUAAAUUGCGCUGAUUAUUUUGUACACAGAUUUGAAAAAUAUAAGAUCAAUAUUUAAAAAAAAACAAAAAUCUUUUUAUUUUUCAUUGAUUUAUUAGAUGAAAUUGAAUUAUCUUUCAAA
Molecule: long non-coding RNA, 620 nt
Organism: Ostrea edulis (European flat oyster)
Lineage: Eukaryota; Metazoa; Mollusca; Bivalvia; Ostreida; Ostreidae
Exons: 3
Source: RefSeq, a predicted model, not a curated record